RNAcentral lists this ribosomal RNA (751 nucleotides) under uncultured Filifactor sp. RNAcentral describes it as "bacterial SSU rRNA". It matches the Rfam family "Bacterial small subunit ribosomal RNA", at positions 28 to 776 of the family's 1533-position model. Lineage: Bacteria; Bacillati; Bacillota; Clostridia; Peptostreptococcales; Filifactoraceae. The record is from RNAcentral.
GAUGAACGCUGGCGGCGUGCUUAACACAUGCAAGUCGAACGAACGACUAUUAACAGAACCUUUCGGGGCGAAGAAUAUAGAAGUUAGUGGCGGACGGGUGCGUAACGCGUGGGUAAUCUGCCUUUGUCAAAGGAAUAACUAUUCGAAAGAAUAGCUAAAACCGUAUAACAUAUUAAUAGGGCAUCCUAAUAAUAUCAAAACGAUAGUGGACAAAGAUGAGCCCGCGUCUGAUUAGCUAGUUGGUGAGAUAAAAGCCCACCAAGGCAACGAUCAGUAGCCGACCUGAGAGGGUGAACGGCCACAUUGGAACUGAGACACGGUCCAAACUCCUACGGGAGGCAGCAGUGGGGAAUAUUGCACAAUGGGGGGAACCCUGAUGCAGCAACGCCGCGUGAGUGAAGAAGGCAUUCGUGUCGUAAAACUCUGUAGUAGGGGAAGAAAGAAAUGACAGUACCCUAAAAGAAAGCCCCGGCUAACUACGUGCCAGCAGCCGCGGUAAUACGUAGGGGGCAAGCGUUAUCCGGAAUAACUGGGCGUAAAGGGUGCGCAGGUGGUUUAACAAGUUAGUGGUGAAAGGCAUAGGCUCAACCAAUGUAAGCCAUUAAAACUGUUUAACUUGAGUGCAGGAGAGGAAAGUGGAAUUCCUAGUGUAGCGGUGAAAUGCGUAGAUAUUAGGGGGAAUACCAGUGGCGAAGGCGACUUUCUGGACUGCAACUGACACUGAGGCACGAAAGCGUGGGGAGCAAACAGG